CGGCUCCGGGACGCGGCUGCACUCGGAGGAGAGCUUGAGCGAAGGCGACGCGGCCGUCGUCGCGACCGGCGACGUUUAACGUCUUUGUCGGCGAGAUGGACAGUGGCAUCGAGUGCACCCUUAGCAGGACACAGCCAGCCAUGACCACACUCCAGCCGUGGAGGCUGUCCCACCAUGUCUCCGACUGCCACCAGACCAUAGGCCUGUGACCACACAUGCAAACAUUGCAGCAGAAAGUUGAAGGACUCAGCUCGGGCUGCAGAGGAUAACUGCCAGUAUGACUGCUUCUCAAGCACGGGAGGACUGUGCCCUGAGAGGUACCCUGAAAAGAGCCGCAUGUCUGUGAGUGGUGCACUGCGGCGUCCUCAGCAGGACCUUCCUUCUUCAGCAGAACGCUGAGUUCAGCUGCUCUUCCCAGGAAGCCCAAAAUCUUCAUUACAACUGAUCUUACUACACUUUUACUACAGUUCACUGCUACUUGUCUGCUGAAGGAUCUUUUUGCCGAUGCCAGGUCCAUCUCUAGGGACAGGCUGUAGGAUCAGUGUGUCUGUGUAGAGCCGCAGGUGGCUCCUAGACACACUCUCAGUUAUCCUGCUCCGGGAGAUGCAUAAAUCACGAGCUCCAUCUGCCUGCUCACUCUGUAAGCCUCUCAGGCCGUGUAACUCGUUAGGAGGUGACAGGGAAACUCAUCCAAAGGGCAAGGACUUUGCCAAAGAGCCUGAAAUGCUGUCCUUAACUCUUGGGAAAACCUGUGCCUCGGCGUUUUGCUGACUGCUGCCCUGCUUGCUUCUGUGCUCUCAGCAAUGUAGAGCCUGAGGUAUCAGGGAACAUUCACUCCCUAUUUCCAGUGCUUUGCAGUCAGAGGGAGGGAUGACAAGCUUAUGCUCUGACAGACUGCAGCAUUGCUCUGUUUGGCCUGGACUCACCAGCAGUUGCCCCUGGGCUGGCCUGCUUGCUGUCAGAACAAAGGAGUUCACAGCUUCUCACUCUGGUGAGCACCAUGUCUCGGUUCUAAUUUAAUUUCCAGAGACUCAAAUAAAUUUGAUAGAACCAAUUAACAAUUUAUAGAGU
Long non-coding RNA from Pogoniulus pusillus (Red-fronted tinkerbird), 1071 nucleotides. RefSeq lists it as uncharacterized. NCBI's taxonomy places the organism in Eukaryota, Metazoa, Chordata, Aves, Piciformes, Lybiidae. The record is from RefSeq and is a predicted model, not a curated record. The transcript is spliced from 3 exons.